This 429-nucleotide ribosomal RNA is filed under the name Acidobacteriota bacterium. RNAcentral describes it as "Acidobacteria bacterium partial 16S ribosomal RNA". It matches the Rfam family "Bacterial small subunit ribosomal RNA", at positions 355 to 776 of the family's 1533-position model. The record is from RNAcentral. Lineage: Bacteria; Pseudomonadati; Acidobacteriota.
UGGGGAAUUUUGGACAAUGGGGGAAACCCUGAUCCAGCCAUCCCGCGUGUGCGAUGAAGGCCUUCGGGUUGUAAAGCACUUUUGGCAGGAAAGAAACGUCAUGGGUUAAUACCCCGUGAAACUGACGGUACCUGCAGAAUAAGCACCGGCUAACUACGUGCCAGCAGCCGCGGUAAUACGUAGGGUGCAAGCGUUAAUCGGAAUUACUGGGCGUAAAGCGUGCGCAGGCGGUUCGGAAAGAAAGAUGUGAAAUCCCAGAGCUCAACUUUGGAACUGCAUUUUUAACUGCCGGGCUAGAGUGUGUCAGAGGGAGGUGGAAUUCCACGUGUAGCAGUGAAAUGCGUAGAUAUGCGGAGGAACACCGAUGGCGAAGGCAGCCACCUGGGAUAACACUGACGCUCAUGAACGAAAGCGUGGGGAGCAAACAGG